This 385-nucleotide ribosomal RNA is filed under the name uncultured bacterium. Its description in RNAcentral is "bacterial SSU rRNA". It matches the Rfam family "Bacterial small subunit ribosomal RNA", at positions 28 to 419 of the family's 1533-position model. The record is from RNAcentral.
GAUGAACGCUAGCGGCAGGCUUAACACAUGCAAGUCGAGGGGUAUUUAUCUUCGGAUAGAGAGACCGGCGCACGGGUGCGUAACGCGUAUGCAAUCUACCUUUACAGAGGGAUAGCCCAGAGAAAUUUGGAUUAAUACCUCAUAGCAUAGCAAUCUCGCAUGAGAUCACUAUUAAAGUCACAACGGUAAAGAUGAGCAUGCGUCCCAUUAGCUAGUUGGUAAGGUAACGGCUUACCAAGGCUACGAUGGGUAGGGUCCUGAGAGGGAGAUCCCCCACACUGGUACUGAGACACGGACCAGACUCCUACGGGAGGCAGCAGUGAGGAAUAUUGGACAAUGGGCGCAAGCCUGAUCCAGCCAUGCCGCGUGCAGGAUGACGGUCCUA